This 451-nucleotide ribosomal RNA is filed under the name uncultured bacterium. Its description in RNAcentral is "bacterial SSU rRNA". It matches the Rfam family "Bacterial small subunit ribosomal RNA", at positions 8 to 507 of the family's 1533-position model. The record is from RNAcentral.
AGAGUUUGAUCCUGGCUCAGAAUGAACGCUGGCGGCAGGCCUAACACAUGCAAGUCGAACGGGUCCUUCGGGACUAGUGGCGGACGGGUGAGUAACGCGUGGGAACGUGCCCCUUGGUACGGAAUAGCCCUGGGAAACUGGGAGUAAUACCGUAUGUGGUCGAGAGACGAAAGAUUUAUCGCCAAGGGAUCGGCCCGCGUUGGAUUAGGUAGUUGGUGGGGUAAUGGCCUACCAAGCCGACGAUCCAUAGCUGGUUUGAGAGGAUGAUCAGCCACACUGGGACUGAGACACGGCCCAGACUCCUACGGGAGGCAGCAGUGGGAAUCUUAGACAAUGGGGAAACCCUGAUCUAGCCAUGCCGCGUGAUCGAUGAAGGCCUUAGGGUUGUAAAGAUCUUUCAGGUGGGAAGAUAAUGACUGUACCACCAGAAGAAGCCCCGGCUAACUCCGUG